Molecule: long non-coding RNA, 348 nt
Organism: Sinocyclocheilus grahami
Lineage: Eukaryota; Metazoa; Chordata; Actinopteri; Cypriniformes; Cyprinidae
Exons: 3
Source: RefSeq, a predicted model, not a curated record
AAAAGAGAGUCCUGUUCUGGAGGAUGAUAUUGGACCUCUUGUACAGCACAUCUAUGAGCUUAGGAACACAGGACCCAGUACUUUCAGUAAGGCCAUUUUGGAUGUGCAGUGGCCCUACAGAUUCAACAACGGCUCUCUGCUCUACAUCACCAAGAUUGAAGUGGACGGAAACAUGAAUUGCAGCUCAAACAGGGAGCUCAACCCUCUUAAUGUCACUAAUCCCAGAUUUAUUGACAAAAAUGAGACCUCGGCCAGCGGAGGCAGAGCUGAGGGGAGGAACAGACACAGCGUCCACCGCAGAGACCUGGAGGACAAACAAGGGGAAGAGAACCUGGAGAAUCUGGUAUA